Molecule: microRNA, 22 nt
Filed under: Bos taurus (domestic cattle)
Lineage: Eukaryota; Metazoa; Chordata; Mammalia; Artiodactyla; Bovidae
Description: bta-miR-11994
Source: miRBase by way of RNAcentral
UGAGAGUUCCCUGUUCUGGAUG